Non-coding RNA from Rattus norvegicus (Norway rat), 1219 nucleotides. The record is from RefSeq and is a predicted model, not a curated record. Lineage: Eukaryota; Metazoa; Chordata; Mammalia; Rodentia; Muridae.
GCUCCCGGGAAGGGUCACAGCCUGCGCUUUCAGACACUGGAUGAGGGCACCGCUGGCUCUGCUGCUGUGACUUUUCUACUGGGGAUCGAGGGUUCGCCCUCCUCUCUAACCUUUGCUCAGGUUUCCGUGACGACGUCUGGCUAGCCUGGAUCCUGCUUGAGCUUGGUUUUCUACUGAGUGGUAGGUACAACUCAGACUAGUGGAUCUAUGCUCCGCCUUUUUUUUUUAAGUCAAGAUGUCGCCUAUUGAGACACCGACGUGCUCACCAUGUAUGUACUUAUCAGAAACACUCAAGCACCAUGGAUGGAAUAUAUAAAGGCCCCUCUGCAUAUUAACUUGGUUAACCCUCACUUCAGGAUCAGACAACGAGGUUUUAAACAAAAACAAACAAAAAACCCAGAUCUUAGAAAUAUUGUCCUCAAAGGAGAACUGAAUGUUUGAAACCCACAUGCCUGUUUUUUCAGACCACUUGACACUCAUCAUGGUGGCUGUUUUCAGACACGCUCUUUCUUGGAGUAGAGAAAAAUCUAAGCCAGUUUCCCAUUUUCUUCAGUGGAGAAGACUGAUUGCCACAUAAUGGAAAGUCACCAGCCCCUUACUUCACAAUGCACCCAUUUGGGCUAGGGGCAUCCUGUCAUAAGCAUGUUCUAUUGCUUAACCAGACAGAGGCUGCCCACUUGACCUACAAGUAAUGAGUCUGAUCUUUAUGCACCUUUCUAACCCAUAAGACGAGCUGGAAACUACUUUCUGGAUUCUUGGAUUAAGCAGCAUAGGUAAUCAGAUACAUUCUCUCUCACUGUAUUUUGUGGACCAGUCAGUCAGCAACCUUUGACUCAAGGACAGACCUUCUCAUCUCAUUCCCCACAGCACCCUACAGAAAAUCCUGCCGAGUGACUAGACUGGCCUUGACCUGCCUCAGCCUCCUGCGUAGCUCUGAUUACAAGCAAUUACACUUGGUGUCUUCUAGUGCGAUGUAGUUGAAGAGGGGCACACGACAUGCUCAGAAGAACCCUAUCAUGUGAUCGUGUCACCUAACUGCAAGGAGAGCUAAAUGAAGUCGUUAGCUGGCCAACGAUUUGUCAUCUAAUCCUCACUCCUAUUGAAGAGCGAGGGAGUGGAUGUUAGCCAGCCAUCUGCCCACUUCAACCAUCCUUGUGUUCUGAUUUUUUUAAUCUGAUUUUUAAUACACUUUUUAAAUAUAUAUAUAUAUGCUAUUUUA